GUGCUCUCUUCAACAGCACAUAUACUAAAAUUGGAAUGAUGCAGAGAAGCUUAGCAUGGCCCCUGCCCAAGAAUGACAUGCAAACUCAUGAAGAGUUCCAUAUUAAA
Molecule: small nuclear RNA, 107 nt
Organism: Ailuropoda melanoleuca (giant panda)
Lineage: Eukaryota; Metazoa; Chordata; Mammalia; Carnivora; Ursidae
Source: Ensembl